RNAcentral lists this ribosomal RNA (253 nucleotides) under uncultured bacterium. Its description in RNAcentral is "partial 16S ribosomal RNA". It matches the Rfam family "Bacterial small subunit ribosomal RNA", at positions 524 to 776 of the family's 1533-position model. The record is from RNAcentral.
UACGUAGGGUGCAAGCGUUGUCCGGAAUUAUUGGGCGUAAAGAGCUCGUAGGCGGUUUGUCGCGUCGAAUGUGAAAACCCGGGGCUCAACCCCGGGCCUGCAUUCGAUACGGGCAGACUAGAGUUCGGUAGGGGAGUCUGGAAUUCCUGGUGUAGCGGUGAAAUGCGCAGAUAUCAGGAGGAACACCGGUGGCGAAGGCGGGACUCUGGGCCGAUACUGACGCUGAUGCACGAAAGCUAGGGGAGCAAACAGG